AAGUCGCGGGAACGUCCCUGGUGUUCCUGGACGCCGUGCUGGGCCUCCUCCUUCACCCCUCACCCCAGAGAACUGACCCGCGACGUCACGGACACCCCCAGCCCGUGAGAACCCGAGCAGUGCCACCUGUGGGUGACCGGGGACUCUUGUCGCAAUUAGGGACCGCACCUCCCCUUCCGCUAAAUGGUGGCGAACCAGGUGGGUGACGCGGUGCGGUGGAGCGAAGCAACGAGUUUUACCAAAAGAUUUUCAGAUCUGUACUAGAGAUUGUCCUCUGUGGAAUUUCUUCUUAACUGCCUGGAAGAUUUCAUGAAACCAGCACCCACUGUAUAUACCUUCGCCUUGCACCUAGCUGGGAGACUCUCAUCAAAUUACCAAAGGAAUAAAUGGGUCACAGAUGGUCUGAGGAUCCUGCCAGCCCCGACAAUUUCCUAUUUCAAGGAGGCAUCGAAUAAAUAUUUGCUGAACAAACAGACGAAGCAAACU
This is a long non-coding RNA of Orcinus orca (killer whale), 486 nucleotides long. RefSeq lists it as uncharacterized. Lineage: Eukaryota; Metazoa; Chordata; Mammalia; Artiodactyla; Delphinidae. The transcript is spliced from 3 exons. The record is from RefSeq and is a predicted model, not a curated record.